Molecule: transfer RNA, 72 nt
Organism: Neotoma lepida (desert woodrat)
Lineage: Eukaryota; Metazoa; Chordata; Mammalia; Rodentia; Cricetidae
Rfam family: tRNA
About the family: Transfer RNA (tRNA) molecules are approximately 80 nucleotides in length.
Source: Rfam
AGAGAGAUGGCUCAGUGGUUAAGAGUACUGGUUGCUUUUCCAGAGGACUCGGGUUCAAUUCCCAUCACCCUA